UACGAAGGGGGCUAGCGUUGUUCGGAAUUACUGGGCGUAAAGGGCGCGUAGGCGGUGUGUCAAGUCAGGCGUGAAAGCCCCGGGCUCAACCUGGGAACCGCGCUUGAGACUGGCACGCUCGAGUUCGGGAGAGGAUGGUGGAAUUCCCAGUGUAGAGGUGAAAUUCGUAGAUAUUGGGAAGAACACCAGUGGCGAAGGCGGCUCACUGGUCCGGUACUGACGCUGAGGUGCGAAAGCGUGGGGAGCAAACAGG
This 253-nucleotide ribosomal RNA is filed under the name uncultured bacterium. RNAcentral describes it as "partial 16S ribosomal RNA". It matches the Rfam family "Bacterial small subunit ribosomal RNA", at positions 524 to 776 of the family's 1533-position model. The record is from RNAcentral.